UGUCUAAUAUCUCAUUCGGUAGAGAAGGAGACUCUUAAUUUCAGGGCCAUGGGUUCGAGCUCCACGUUGGGCAA
Non-coding RNA from Podarcis lilfordi (Lilford's wall lizard), 74 nucleotides. Lineage: Eukaryota; Metazoa; Chordata; Lepidosauria; Squamata; Lacertidae. The record is from the annotation of a GenBank genome assembly.